GGUGACAACUAUCCUGCGUGCCCUCCAUGUGGGCAUCUAGGCUGAUACCCACCACACAGUGAGCUGAACGUUUAUCUACCUCUCGCCGCGGACGCAAGCACACCGCCUUGGGGUUAAAACGCCGUGCUACAUCC
This 134-nucleotide small nucleolar RNA is filed under the name Chlamydomonas reinhardtii. RNAcentral describes it as "CrACA16b snoRNA". The record is from RNAcentral. Lineage: Eukaryota; Viridiplantae; Chlorophyta; Chlorophyceae; Chlamydomonadales; Chlamydomonadaceae.